Molecule: ribosomal RNA, 245 nt
Filed under: uncultured bacterium
Lineage: Bacteria
Description: partial 16S ribosomal RNA
Rfam family: Bacterial small subunit ribosomal RNA
Source: RNAcentral
CACACCCUAAACGAUGAAUACUAGAUGUUGGUCCUUUUUAGGAUCAGUAUCCAAGCUAACGCAUUAAGUAUUCCACCUGGGAAGUACAAUCGCAAGGUUGAAACUCAAAGGAAUUGACGGGGGCCCGCACAAGCAGUGGAGCAUGUGGUUUAAUUCGACGCAACGCGAAGAACCUUACCUAGGCUUGAAACGCAAGUUAAUCCUGAUGAAAGUCAGGGUUCCGCAAGGAGAACUUGUACAGGUGC